RNAcentral lists this ribosomal RNA (597 nucleotides) under Pseudomonas cannabina. Its description in RNAcentral is "bacterial SSU rRNA". It matches the Rfam family "Bacterial small subunit ribosomal RNA", at positions 55 to 646 of the family's 1533-position model. The record is from RNAcentral. Lineage: Bacteria; Pseudomonadati; Pseudomonadota; Gammaproteobacteria; Pseudomonadales; Pseudomonadaceae.
AUGCAGUCGAGCGGCAGCACGGGUACUUGUACCUGGUGGCGAGCGGCGGACGGGUGAGUAAUGCCUAGGAAUCUGCCUGGUAGUGGGGGAUAACGCUCGGAAACGGACGCUAAUACCGCAUACGUCCUACGGGAGAAAGCAGGGGACCUUCGGGCCUUGCGCUAUCAGAUGAGCCUAGGUCGGAUUAGCUAGUUGGUGAGGUAAUGGCUCACCAAGGCGACGAUCCGUAACUGGUCUGAGAGGAUGAUCAGUCACACUGGAACUGAGACACGGUCCAGACUCCUACGGGAGGCAGCAGUGGGGAAUAUUGGACAAUGGGCGAAAGCCUGAUCCAGCCAUGCCGCGUGUGUGAAGAAGGUCUUCGGAUUGUAAAGCACUUUAAGUUGGGAGGAAGGGCAGUUACCUAAUACGUAUCUGUUUUGACGUUACCGACAGAAUAAGCACCGGCUAACUCUGUGCCAGCAGCCGCGGUAAUACAGAGGGUGCAAGCGUUAAUCGGAAUUACUGGGCGUAAAGCGCGCGUAGGUGGUUCGUUAAGUUGGAUGUGAAAUCCCCGGGCUCAACCUGGGAACUGCAUCCAAAACUGGCGAGCUAGAG